RNAcentral lists this ribosomal RNA (772 nucleotides) under uncultured bacterium. RNAcentral's name for it is "bacterial SSU rRNA". It matches the Rfam family "Bacterial small subunit ribosomal RNA", at positions 8 to 798 of the family's 1533-position model. The record is from RNAcentral.
AGAGUUUGAUCCUGGCUCAGGACGAACGCUGGCGGCGUGCUUAACACAUGCAAGUCGAACGGAAAGGCCCUUCGGGGUACUCGAGUGGCGAACGGGUGAGUAACACGUGGGUGAUCUGCCCUGCACUUUGGGAUAAGCCUGGGAAACUGGGUCUAAUACCGAAUAUGACCACGCUCUUCAUGGGGUGUGGUGGAAAGCUUUUGCGGUGUGGGAUGGGCCCGCGGCCUAUCAGCUUGUUGGUGGGGUAAUGGCCUACCAAGGCGACGACGGGUAGCCGGCCUGAGAGGGUGACCGGCCACACUGGGACUGAGAUACGGCCCAGACUCCUACGGGAGGCAGCAGUGGGGAAUAUUGCACAAUGGGCGCAAGCCUGAUGCAGCGACGCCGCGUGAGGGAUGACGGCCUUCGGGUUGUAAACCUCUUUCACCAGGGACGAAGCGCAAGUGACGGUACCUGGAGAAGAAGCACCGGCCAACUACGUGCCAGCAGCCGCGGUAAUACGUAGGGUGCGAGCGUUGUCCGGAAUUACUGGGCGUAAAGAGCUCGUAGGUGGUUUGUCGCGUUGUUCGUGAAAACUCACAGCUUAACUGUGGGCGUGCGGGCGAUACGGGCAGACUAGAGUACUGCAGGGGAGACUGGAAUUCCUGGUGUAGCGGUGGAAUGCGCAGAUAUCAGGAGGAACACCGGUGGCGAAGGCGGGUCUCUGGGCAGUAACUGACGCUGAGGAGCGAAAGCGUGGGAGCGAACAGGAUUAGAUACCCUGGUAGUCCAA